Hyposmocoma kahamanoa is the source of this 847-nucleotide long non-coding RNA. RefSeq lists it as uncharacterized. The transcript is spliced from 4 exons. The record is from RefSeq and is a predicted model, not a curated record. Lineage: Eukaryota; Metazoa; Arthropoda; Insecta; Lepidoptera; Cosmopterigidae.
UACGAAAUGUCACGUGAUGUAGGGUAACGAACGAUUAAUUGGUAGCCAAUAUUAAUCACUUUCUAUUCCAUCAAACGGAACGUCCAACUCGUACGACAACUCCCAUAUAAACCGUAGCCAAAGUGGCAAUUUUGACAAUCGCUUACGCUCACUAUCUAUUCCAUCGAUCGAUUACGAAGCGAUCGCCAACACCUUGUAGAAAACGAAACGAAAUGGCUAUUUUAUAAUCAGCUGGUGAAGUUUUGUGUUGUGUUUGUGCAAAUUUUUAUAAAUAACUUUGAAAUGCAUUCGCUUCGACUCUUGUGGGCUGCUCAUAAUGAAGAAGUGUGGCUCAGGCGUCAAAAAAGAAACGUUUCUCGGCGGUCCUUGGAGCAAAUCGGCGAAAUGCCGAUUUUAUGUUUCGGGAACCAUUUAGAUUGGAUAAACGAGCAUUUGUCUCCACCUACGGGCCCAUACCUGUUUGAGAGGAACCGUAGCAUUUCUACUGGAAGUUAAGGUUUUUUGUGCCUUGAGUUUGAGGCGACGGGCUCUUAACAGUGGAUCGUGUGUGUCUCGCAACAUUUGCUGCAGCGAACAACUAGUCGUUGCAUUAGGCAAGUUGUGGAAGCCCUCAAUCAUCCGAAUGUAAUAAGUAAAUGGGUGUUCCCACAAACGCAACAAGUUAAGCCCAGAGGUUCCAAAUAAGAUUUCAUUUAUCUGGUGUAAUAGGGUGCAUUGACUGCACCCAUGUAACCAUUGUGAAGUCCAUGGUAGAUGAGCAUCUUUUUUAUAAAAGUAUACCACUCAUUAAAUGUACAAAUGAUUUGUGAUCAUAACUUAAAAAUUUUUAAUGUCGAUGCUAAGUAUG